GGACUCUUGCCUUCUCAUUUUUUAUCUACUGCUAUUUCAAGAGUCCUCACAAGUGGUAUUGGAGCCUUCUGUUAGAAGGGGGGGAUAGAGACAAUGAACUCACUCGGGGAGUGGGGAUGGGUCGCAAGUGCAAGGAAAUAAAGGGAAACAUGGUUGAGUUUGAUUUUAGGUCCUUUUAGCUUUACAGAAUUCUUUUGGUGGGGAAUUCUUUCCCAACUCCUUGUACCUUGAUGGGUAAUAGAUUUCAUCCCUAGAACCACGAAAACCAUGGAUUUUGGGAAGAAGUUGCUUCUCAUUGGUCAAGGAGCUAUGGCCACGCUUCCUCCUCUAAGUGGAAAGCCAAUCAGUAAAAGCUUUGAUGGGCCUUUGCUGUGGAUAUAAUUCCAACCUCCCUAGCUCGGAUCUUUGGAUGUCAAGGAAGAACAUGGUGAGUCAAUGUCUCUGCUUGUGGAUCUUGUGGUGGGAAAAUUGGUGGGCAAGCUUGAUUCUUUCUUUGAGAAGAUAAAACAAAUUGCUUCCAAGCAAGAGGAGUUGGAGGCAAUAAUGAAAAUGGUGUCUCGUGGAUCAUCUCCCUCAAGGUCUAGAGUAGAAGAGGAGUGCUUUCCAUUUGCCGAUGACAGUCCUUGGAAUUCCUCCCUCAGAG
This 643-nucleotide long non-coding RNA is filed under the name Selaginella moellendorffii. RNAcentral's name for it is "long non-coding RNA (SMOE_LNC001142)". Lineage: Eukaryota; Viridiplantae; Streptophyta; Lycopodiopsida; Selaginellales; Selaginellaceae. The record is from RNAcentral.